UUAGAAAUAAUCUCAGCUCUGAUAAAGAGCCAUCUCGACUCAAAACUUUAACUUGCUCUUUCUUUGCAGAUCUGUCUCACCCACUGUUGUUUUCAGUCGGAUCUUUUAUACAUUUUGAUUACCGGAAAUUCAGCUCUGAUAGUUCUCCGAACAGCAUGAGGAGGAAAUGUAAUAGCGAGUUUUGAGAAGAUUUGUAGCUCAGGUUGAGGUUCUGGAUGUGAGUUUGCUCGCUGAGCUGGAAGCUGCUGAAGAAGACUUAUAUUGGACUGCCAACUUCGCUUCUGUCUCCACAGAUGCUCCAAACCUAAAGGAGUACCACAGCUAUCCAUGUGAAUCCACAAAGUUCUGUCCAGCGCUUGCUGGGUUUAAUGUGUAGCUUUUGUUGUACACACUACAUUCCACCAAAAUUCCACUUCAGCUGAGGGAGCUAAUAAUUAAGUGGUCGCCUACCUCCAAAAAAAUGCGAAUAUAUAAAAUGUGAUCCAUUCCAAUUCUUGUCCGAAACAAAACUAGGAGAGAUCGUACUCGAGGGUGGGAUUUGUGAUUUUCAGACAUGUCUGCCGUUUUCAUCAUGAUGAAGACACUUAUUUGCAUGGUAACCAUUUGGACCACGGAGUCAAUUCAGAUUCCAGAACAGACGUUUAAAUAAACUCUCCAAGUCCAGACAGUUCAAAAUGUGAAGUCUUACACAGUCACACUAAAUGGGUUAAUUUCUAAUUUGCAAUCUACUGACAGAAACUAGAUAUGUAUGUGUCUGUCUUUUUUUAAAAUGAAUUGUGUUCUGUGUUUGUU
This is a long non-coding RNA of Stegostoma tigrinum, 792 nucleotides long. RefSeq lists it as uncharacterized. The record is from RefSeq and is a predicted model, not a curated record. Lineage: Eukaryota; Metazoa; Chordata; Chondrichthyes; Orectolobiformes; Stegostomatidae. The transcript is spliced from 2 exons.